UACGUAGGGGGCAAGCGUUAUCCGGAAUUACUGGGUUUAAAGGGUGCGUAGACGGCUGUGCAAGUCUGGAGUGAAAGGCAUGGGCUCAACCUGUGGACUGCUUUGGAAACUGUGCGGCUUGAGUGUCGGAGAGGCAAGUGGAAUUCCUAGUGUAGCGGUGAAAUGCGUAGAUAUUAGGAGGAACACCAGUGGCGAAGGCGGCCUGCUGGGCUUUAACUGACGCUGAGGCACGAAAGCAUGGGUAGCAAACAGG
Molecule: ribosomal RNA, 253 nt
Filed under: uncultured bacterium
Lineage: Bacteria
Description: partial 16S ribosomal RNA
Rfam family: Bacterial small subunit ribosomal RNA
Source: RNAcentral